GUCACUCACGUUGCUUGCCGGGAAUUGUAGUUUAGUCUGGAUCGGUUUUACCUCUUUCCCCACUUUGGGGCCCAAGCAAAAGAAUGUGAAAGACCACCUUUCCUAGGAUGCACUGCGGUGCGUUCAGCUCCACUUCCUCCUUAGACGGAGGGAAGGAUACACAGACGCUUGUGUGGUAAAAGGCAAGUUAAAGGGGAUGGUGGUCGGAAAUAGAGGUCUGGAGUUCACGACUUCUCUAGAAGGAGGGGAGGGGACUGAAAGGCUCCCGGUGAAGAAGAGUUUCUAGUAUGGCGCUUCUAAACUUCCUGGAUUGCUUUCAACAAACCUGAUGAUGAAACUGAUGCACAGUGGGGUUAAGUAACUUGCCCAGUGUUUCACUGCUGAUACUGCAUUUUUUACAAAUUGAAGGUUUGUGGCAACCCUGCAUCUAAGUGAAUUUCUGGCUCCAUUUUCUAACAGCAUUUGCUCAUUUUGUGUCUCUGUGUCUACUCCUGGUGGAGAUGCUGUGAAGAUUGUUGAAAUGACAACAAAGGAUUUAGAAUGUUGCAUAACUUUGUUGAUAAAGCAUCAAGAUUGUUUGAGAGGACUGACUCCAGUUUUGAAAGGAGUUUUCCCGUGGGUAAAAUGCUACCAAACAGCAUUGCAUGCUACAGAGAAAUCAUCUGUGAAAGGAGGAGUCAGUGUGGCACAUUUCACUAUUGUCUUAAGAAAUUUCCACAACCACUCCAGCAUCCACCACUCUGAUCAGUCAGCAGCCAACAGCAUUGAGGCAAGACCCUCCACCAGCAAAAAGAAUCUAACUCACUAAAGGCUCAGAUAAUGCUUAGCAUUUUUGAGCAAUAAAGUAUUUUUAAAUUAAGCCACACUGGCCUCCUGGUUGAUCCUCAAACACUCCAAGUACAUUCUUGUCUCAAGGCAUUUGAACUUGCUCUUCUGCUGCUUGGAAAACUCUUCCCCAGGCAUCCUGACCAAACCCACACCUUUCUGGGUUGAACCUGUGACUUUGAUUUUACAGGAUGACACCCAACCAACUGAGCCACAUAGGUCAAGGUUCAGAACCUUUCAGAUCAACUUACCAGUAAGUUCAGUAUGUGAAACAGAUAAACAUAGUUGAAAUGGGACAAGAUAAGAGUUACUUCAACCUGCCAGCAUUCCCUGCCCUCAUUCCUACUCUGCACAGAAGAAGCUCCGGGGGGUACUUUGGAAGCCAUUGGAAAAAAAUCAUUCCCUCAUAAAUGACUUGAAAUGCCACAUCUGUAAUAUGCUACAUUAAAACGUUUACUUAUUCCAA
This is a long non-coding RNA of Phyllostomus hastatus (greater spear-nosed bat), 1291 nucleotides long. RefSeq lists it as uncharacterized. Lineage: Eukaryota; Metazoa; Chordata; Mammalia; Chiroptera; Phyllostomidae. The record is from RefSeq and is a predicted model, not a curated record. The transcript has 7 exons.